CCAGAUAAGGAGCUUAAGUAUUUGACAUACACUGUACAUUUAAUUCUCAGGUAGAUAUUAUCAUUUCUUCAUCUUGCAGGUGAGACAACUAGACACAGAGAAAUUAAGUACUAUGAUCAAGGUCACACAGCUGAUAAGUGACAGAGCCUGAAGUCAAAUCCCUGUUUCGAAUGGAAAGGCCAGAGUCUUAAAUUCUGUCAUCAGAGUGCUUCAUUAAGUUGGCACCUAGCGGAGUAACUCUUGUGUGGUGGACUUGAAACCAAUAUGUGUGGAAUAAAUAAAAAAGCCAAUCCAUAAAUUGAUCCUAGUAUGAUUCCUUUCAGGAAUGUCCAUACCUGUAGCAUUCACGGUGAAUAAAGCUAUAGCUGCUAUAAGAAAUAACCCCUCAACCUCAGGGGCUAAAACGGUAUUUCUUACUCAUGUCACAGUACAUAUGGCCAGUAAUGGUGUGUUGGGGAAGGCUUGCUCUCUGCAGUCAGUCAGGAUCCAGGUUCCUUCUAGACUGUGGCUCGGCCACAUUCAGUGCUCUUCUCUCCAGGUUGCCCUGAGCACUGUGGUCUCCAGGUUUGUGUCACCUUCCAGGUGGCAGAUGGCAGAUGAGAGUGGAGGCGGGCUCUGGGAGUUUUAGGGCCAGGCCUGGAAGUUUCAUGAUUCCAUUGACCAAGACUGUAUCACGUGGCCCCACUAACUGCAGAGGAGGUUGGGAAAUGUCACUGGGCUGUGUGCCCAGGAAGAACAUGAAAUGGGCUUGGUGAGCCCACAGCUUUGUCUGCCACAGACCUAUUUCCCAUGUUUACAGAUGAAAACCUACAGACUCAGGCUGUAUUUUCCUUGACAAAACCCUUCAAUCCUACUUGAAUGGAAAUUUCCAUCAUGCUCAUCAUUUUUGAGUCAUUCCUUUGCCUUUGAUGGCAAAUGUUGGAGUUUUGUACACCUAAGAUCGGAUGUAAAAUGCACAGCUCUUCCUAGGACCACCGUCACUACCUUUCUUUUGUUGGCACAGAGUUUAUUUGUUGACCAUACUGGAAAGCUCUAGAAUUUGUUGGGACAUUUAAUAAGGUGGAUUCAGUGAAGAACUCUGGAUGUUAGAAAUAGAGGAAUAUGCCUUGGUGGAGGAAUGUCUAGUUUAGAAAUGAAAUAUAUGCAUGUGGCUUUAAAACGUCCUAUGGUUAUCAGAGUUUCUGUCGUGGCUUAGCGGUAACAAACCCGACUAGUAUCCAUGAGGAUGUGGGUUCAAUCCCUGGACUCGCUCAAUGGAUUAAGGAUCUGGCGUUGCCCUGAGCUGUGGUGUAUGUCACUGAUGGGGCUCAGAUCCAGAGUGGCUGUGUCGUAGGCCGGUGGCUACAGCUCUGAUUCAACCCCUAGCCUGGAAACAUCCAUGUGCUGCACGGACAGCCCUGAAAAGAAAGGAAAAACAAAAAACAAAAACUUCCUAUGUUUAUCUAUAAAGUUAAUUAUCUAGUUCAGGAUAACAAAGAGAAUCAGUUCUUAAACCAGAUCGGAAAUGCAUUUAUCUCUUUAUUUACAACAAACCUGACUCAAUUGAGUGAUCCUAUUUUGAGGGAGUUUCUUUUCAUUCACAAGUGUGUUUUAUGCUUAAGUGACAACUGGCAGCCUCUUCCUCAUAUUUAAAAUUAGAGCCCAUUAAAGGCAAGUUUCUGUUUACUCUCCCAAGUAUUGGGGCUCUCAAGUAUCUAAUUUCUAAUGAGAGGCUGAAUUAUUCAUAAAAGGCAUUUAUCUUUCUUACUCCAAUUAUUAAUCUCUUGAUGCUACUGGUGGUCUCAAGGCUCUGCCAUAAAAGCUUAAUGCAUUUUUCAUCCAUGUGUCACAUGUCUUUGGCUAGACAUGAAGGGGUUAAAAAAUAGUCCCUGAGCCGGUGCCAGACAAUUAGGUAAUUACAAAACAAUUUUGCACAUGAAAGUAAUCUUGUAAGCAUUAUGCCUGAAGUCAUGGCUAAACAACUCUUGCUUUCUUAAUUGUGCACUAGGGUUUUCAAUGUCAUCAUCAUGUUUCCAGAUUUUUUAAAAAAUUAUUUCCUAUUUUUAAAGCAUACAGUGAGGAGUUCCUGUCGUGGCUCAGUGGUAAUGAAGCCGAUUGGUAUCCAUGAGGAUGAAGGUUCGAUCCCUGGCCUUGCUCAGUGGGUUAAGGAUCCGGCAUUGCUGUGAACUACGGUGUAGUCACAGAUGCAGCACCCAUCCCACAUUGCUGUGGCUGUGAUGUAGUUCGAGACUGUAGCUCCAAUUCGACCCCUAGACUGGGAACUUCCAUAUGCCGUGGGUUCAGCCAUAAACAAAUAAAAUGAAAUGAAAUGAAAUGAAAUAAAAUAAAAUAAAAUAUAAAGCGUAAGGUGAUUGUUUUGUGUCCCAAUAACUUUUCUUUACUGGCAUGAAAAUAUUUCCAAAUUAAUAGUGAGAGAGCAGUCAGCAUUGACGGAGUGUUCCCUAUAUGCUAGGUUCUAUGCUAAGCACUUUGCAAGGCCUAUCUUGUUUAGCUUUCUCAACCCCCCUGCUAGGUAGGUAAUAAUAAACAGCUAAGGCUCAGAUAGUACUUCCUGUGCUGCAGGGGCUCAUUUACUGUCAUUACAAUCCUCUGAGGUUUAGGCUCAACCUCACUGAACCCAGAAGCCAUUCAGCAGUGUUACGGGCUGAAUCGUGUUCUCCCAAAAUUCAUCACUGACACUUAACAUCCUGUACCUUUAAAUAAACUGUAUUUGGAAAUAAGGUUUUUAGAGGGAUAAUUACAUUAAAAUGAAGGCGUCAGCACGGACCCAAAUCCAAUAUGGAGUUCCCCUUUUGGCUCAGUGGUACCGAACCUGGCUAGUAUGCAUGAGGAUGCAGGUUCAAUCCCUGGCCUUGCUCAGUGGGUUAAGGAUCAGGGUUGCCAUGAGCUGUGGAGUAGGUCACAGACAUGGCCCAGAUCCCAUGUUGCUGUGGCUGUGGUGUAGACAGGCAGCUGCAGCUCCAAUUCAAAGCCUGGGAACUUUCAUAUGCCGCAGGUGCAGC
Molecule: long non-coding RNA, 3002 nt
Filed under: Sus scrofa (pig)
Lineage: Eukaryota; Metazoa; Chordata; Mammalia; Artiodactyla; Suidae
Description: lncRNA (ENSSSCG00000059515.1)
Source: RNAcentral